CCUACGGGAGGCAGCAGUGAGGAAUAUUGGUCAAUGGACGAGAGCCUGAACCAGCCAAGUAGCGUGAAGGAUGACUGCCCUAUGGGUUGUAAACUUCUUUUAUAAGGGAAUAAAACGCGGCACGUGUGCCGUUUUGCAUGUACCUUAUGAAUAAGGAUCGGCUAACUCCGUGCCAGCAGCCGCGGUAAUACGGAGGAGCCGAGCGUUAUCCGGAUUGAUUGGGUUUAAAGGGUGCGCAGGCGGCCUUGCAAGUCUGGAGUGAAACGCAUGGGCUCAACCCAUGAAUGGCUUUGGAAACUGGAGGGCUGGAGAGCAGGAGAGGGAGGUGGAACUCGAGGUGUAGCGGUGAAAUGCGUAGAUAUAAGGAAGAACCCCGGUGGCGAAGGCAGCCGGCUGGCCUGUUGCUGACGCUGAGGCACGAAAGCGUGGGGAGCAAACAGGAUUAGAUACCCGAGUAGUC
This 460-nucleotide ribosomal RNA is filed under the name uncultured bacterium. Its description in RNAcentral is "partial 16S ribosomal RNA". It matches the Rfam family "Bacterial small subunit ribosomal RNA", at positions 338 to 795 of the family's 1533-position model. The record is from RNAcentral.